Molecule: ribosomal RNA, 426 nt
Filed under: uncultured bacterium
Lineage: Bacteria
Description: partial 16S ribosomal RNA
Rfam family: Bacterial small subunit ribosomal RNA
Source: RNAcentral
GUGAGGAAUAUUCCGCAAUGGGGGAAACCCUGACGGAGCAAUGCCGCGUGCAGGAUGAAGGCCCUCGGGUCGUAAACUGCUUUUAUAUGAGAAGAAUAUGACGGUAACAUAUGAAUAAGGGACGGCUAACUACGUGCCAGCAGCCGCGGUCAUACGUAGGUCCCAAGCGUUAUCCGGAGUGACUGGGCGUAAAGAGUUGCGUAGGCGGCUCGUUAAGCGUGAAAUGAAAUUUAUCGGCUCAACCGGUAAACUAUUUCGCGAACUGACGGGCUCGAGAGUAUGAGAGGUUACUGGAAUUUCUAGUGUAGCAGUGAAAUGCGUAGAUAUUAGAAAGAACACCAACGGCGUAGGCAGGUAACUGGCAUACAUCUGACGCUGAGGCACGAAAGCGUGGGGAGCGAACCGGAUUAGAUACCCCGGUAGUCC